GUCUGGUUAGCUCAGUUGGUUAGAGCGUGGUGCUAAUAACGCCAAGGUCGCGAGUUCGACCCUCGUGUAAGCUU
This is a non-coding RNA of Cryoendolithus antarcticus, 74 nucleotides long. The record is from the annotation of a GenBank genome assembly. Lineage: Eukaryota; Fungi; Ascomycota; Dothideomycetes; Cladosporiales; Cladosporiaceae.